RNAcentral lists this ribosomal RNA (253 nucleotides) under uncultured bacterium. Its description in RNAcentral is "partial 16S ribosomal RNA". It matches the Rfam family "Bacterial small subunit ribosomal RNA", at positions 524 to 776 of the family's 1533-position model. The record is from RNAcentral.
UACGGAGGGAGCUAGCGUUGUUCGGAAUUACUGGGCGUAAAGCGUGCGCAGGCGGUUUUGUAAGCCAGAUGUGAAAUCCCCGGGCUCAACCUGGGAAUGGCAUUUGGGACUGCAAGGCUGGAGUGCGGCAGAGGAGACUGGAAUUCCUGGUGUAGCAGUGAAAUGCGUAGAUAUCAGGAGGAAUACCGAUGGCGAAGGCAGGUCUCUGGGCUGACACUGACGCUCAUGCACGAAAGCGUGGGGAGCAAACAGG